RNAcentral lists this ribosomal RNA (488 nucleotides) under uncultured bacterium. Its description in RNAcentral is "bacterial SSU rRNA". It matches the Rfam family "Bacterial small subunit ribosomal RNA", at positions 28 to 536 of the family's 1533-position model. The record is from RNAcentral.
GACUAACGCUGGCGGCGUGCCUAAUACAUGCAAGUCGAACGGGAUUCUUUGAUCAGCUUGCUGAGAGAAGGAUCUAGUGGCGGACGGGUGAGUAACGCGUGGGAAUCUGCCUCUUACUGGGGGAUAACAGUGGGAAACUACUGCUAAUACCGCAUAAGAUCUUCGGAUGAAAGGUGCAACUGCACCGGUAAGAGAUGAGCCCGCGUCCCAUUAGCUAGUUGGUGAGGUAAAGGCUCACCAAGGCGACGAUGGGUAGCCGGCCUGAGAGGGUGAACGGCCACACUGGGACUGAGACACGGCCCAGACUCCUACGGGAGGCAGCAGUGGGGAAUCUUGCGCAAUGGGCGAAAGCCUGACGCAGCAACGCCGCGUGGGGGAAGAAGGCUCGUCGGGUUGUAAACCCCUUUCAGUAGGAACGAAAUGACGGUACCUGCAGAAGAAGGUGCGGCCAACUACGUGCCAGCAGCCGCGGUAAAAUCAACGUGUAA